Molecule: ribosomal RNA, 258 nt
Filed under: uncultured bacterium
Lineage: Bacteria
Description: partial 16S ribosomal RNA
Rfam family: Bacterial small subunit ribosomal RNA
Source: RNAcentral
UACGUAGGGUGCAAGCGUUUGUCCGGAAUUAUUGGGCGUAAAGAGCUCGUAGGCGGUUCGUCGCGUCGGCUGUGAAAACCUGAGGCUCAACCUCAGGCCUGCAGUCGAUACGGGCGGACUUGAGUACUGCAGGGGAGACUGGAAUUCCUGGUGAUAGCGGUGAAAUGCGCAGAUAUCAGGAGGAACACCGGUGGCGAAGGCGGGUCUCUGGGCAGUAACUGACGCUGGAGGAGCGAAAGCCGUGGGGAGCGAACAGGA